UGCACCAUAUAGAGUGUUUUCCCCAGAAGUUUUUGUCAAAAUCGUUUCUCUCCGAUUUUUAGGGUAUCCGCAAGGAUUUUUGAAAAAAACUGUCUGAUCCUUUUCUUCUCUGCUUUAUGUGUGUUUGAUUAUACCUUGCUCCUAUGUUUUCUUUUAUUUAAUGCAUAUAUUGUCUUUUACCUUUUUCUUUUCUCCUGUUAAUUUCUGCUAUAUUUUUACUACUCUUCUACUAUAUGUGCAUAUCGUCAAAGUUAUUUAAUUGUUGACUCUAUUCAUGUUCAUACAUGGUUCAUCUGCUUGUGUUCAAGUUUGCACUUUCUUUUUCUUCUGAGUUCGUUCAUGUUCUGAGUUUCUCGAAUAUGUUCUUCAUGAUUUAUCUUCCUUUGUUGUUCAAGCAUGCUAUCAUGUCUGUUUUGUUGAGACUCUAAAAAAUAAAUGGUUUGCUUUCCCACCUCCAUGUGUGAUUCAACAUUUUGAAACCCUAGGAUUUGGGGUUUCCUUUUGGCGAAUUUGAUUUUUAUGUUUGAGUCAGGGUUCCACAUUGGGACCCUGGGGUCUCAUACUCACUAUGAGUCUGUAGGUUGAACUGCAUCUCCUUGCUUAUGAUUCUGAACUUUUAUUCGAUUAAAAUUCUUUUUAAACAACUUGACAGUCUUUUCUUGAUUUACAUGUUUGAGUGUUUAUAUACGAGAAAUCUUCUUUCAAAAAGGCUUUGCCAACUACUAAUUGAUUCUCAAUUCCCUUAAUUGUGUUGACUUGAUUGUUACUAGUAUUCCCUAAUUGAACCUUUCUUUACCUCUUUUCCUGACUCGAUUCAUUCGAGUAAAAGUCUGAAGUUUUAAUUUUUACUGGUUGAUUCCCUUUUUUUAUAAGCAGUGUACUAUUAGUUUGUUGCCUUAAAUAGCUUUUAUGUACUUACCCUUUAUUAUUACUGGGAAAAUAUUUUUUAAAAUCCCUUUCCAUAAUUGCCUUACCCGCAUGAACUCAGAAUCCCUUAACUAAAGGGAGACUGAUCAGAAUGAUAUUUACUUACCUUUACUUGCUUUCUUGCUACACUAUAAAAAGGGCUCGACCCUUCUGCGUUAAUAGGACAUAGGAUUUAGGCUUUAAGCUUUGAUAAAACCUUACAACUCUCACACACACUUUCAAUCACAAUACUUUUUCAAUACCUUCCACUCUCUGCUGAGACUUUUGUACUGCUUUACAAUUUGGCUUUUCAAGACUGCUGUUUUACUUACCCGUUUUUCCUGAAACUAGUAUGUCUGAUUUAACUUUUUGCCUCAAUCCUAUGUGUUUGAUUUAUAGAUUCAGUACUCUUUCCCACUUUGCUGUUCAUGUUCAGUAUUUAAAUUAAGUGUGUUUAUUUCCUUGUAUCUUGCUUCUAUUAUGAAUCCCUAUCCCCUAUAAGUAUUCGAGUUAAUGGUUUUGGCCUGAUAGCGUCUAAAUUACGACCCAGUUCUGAACCUGACCUUCAAUAGGUCCUAACCCCGAAUUUAAGCUGACAUGCUAGUUAGGAGUGUGCCACCAUCCCAAUUACUGGGCAUGACCACUAGUUUGUCAUGGCUCUUCCCUAAUUCCCCCUCUAUUGCACUUACUGUUAGACUCUAAGUUCUACCCCCUAUCCUAUGAGCCUUGCCUUGGGGACCUUGAGUUCCCUAUAAACUUGGACAUUAGAGGGCUGGCAAUUACACACUGCAUUGUCAUUCUGUAAUAUAAUUGGGUAUAAGCACUGCCCAGUUCACGACACUCGUUGGAUCUUAUACAUACACAAAAGAUAAGAAAAGCUUUGGAAAUAUGAUCUUUGGAUGUUGGUUUAUUUCAUGUGUCAGACUAGGAGUCGGAAUUAGGCUCUCCUUGGUUGGAAUUCUAGUUUCUGAUGUAAAUUACUUUUCAAGAUUCAUUCAAGUUGUAAUAAUUUGUAAUAACUAUGGGGUGAAUAGUAAAAAUGGGGGAGGGUCUCUCAUGUUAUCCAUAUGGGGUAGAUAUCAUGCUUUAGGUUUUAUUUAUGCAAUCACAAUAUUUUCGUUUAUGUAUCUGCAUUUAGAAAUCUUGCCUAUAAGAUUGUUUCAUUAUGCGUUUAAUAAUUCUGCCUAUAAGAUUGUUUCAUCAUGCAUUUAGAAAUCCUGCCUAUAUGAUUGUUUCAUUUCAGAAUUAGAAACCAUGUCUAUAAGUUUUUAUACUUCUGCACAUAGAAAUCAUAACUAUAGGUUUCUACACUUCUGCAUAUACACAUUGGGUAAACAGUCUAUAGGUUAAAAUAAUCAAUUGCAUCCUAGACACCAUGCUUAUAGGACUCCUGCACUUACAUAACCAUUUUAAACCAACAUCGCUUAGAAAUCAUGUAUAUAGGAUGUAGUCAAUUGAAUCAAUUUCAUCUACGAGUUUUUAAAUCAAUAGUGAUGUCAUUUUAGAAUCUGCAGAACUUUUGUUUAUAAAACCAGUAGCUUCUCUUUAGAAUCAGUAUGCCUUCUGCAUUGUUAUAUAUCAUGAUUACAUGCCUACUUGUAAGUGAUGCUAAAUAAUUUACUGCUUUAAAUUAGGAGGCCUACUUGAUCCUUAACUGCUAUGUGCUUCCCUUUCACUGCUUUAUGUGUUUUGUCUGUUGCAUUAGACUUUUGUGUCUUUUUAAUAUACCGAAUGCCUCCAGGACUGAUAGGAUUGGGACGGGUAAUAGCAUGAGUUAUGUAACAAUACUAUUAUGUGUUCUAAUACCUUAACAGGGUGGGAAUGGUAAAUAUGGAUAUGAUGAUCGGUGCGCUAAUACCAUAUUUAGCCCCUCUUUCGAGGAGUGGUUACCGGAUAUUGCAUUGAUGUGAUCCAUAUUAAUCAUAAAACUAGGACCCCCUCACUUCUAUUUACUUUCAUCAAUUUCUUGUAAAAUUGUUGAAGUCUUUCAUAAAAUUCCUGCCUCUUUUACCCUUUCUCAAGUUUUGACUUACUUGAAAUAUUGUAUGUGAACCCCUUCUAUUUGAGCCCUUAAUUGAUUACUUGAUUAUAUGAAGUCACAAUUGUAACAUGGCCGGGAACCACACUAGUGGAUCUUGAGGGGUGCCUAACACCUUCCCCUUGAGAUAAUUUCUAGCCCUUACCCAAACUCUGGUUCUUCAAACUCCAACUCUUCUUAGUGUCCUAAUGCACUUAAUCAUUAGCUGGAGACUCUUCAAACUCCAAAAACCAAUUCCCAAAAGGGAACGAGUUGUCCUCCAAAAUGUCAUAAACCCGAUUUCGCCUUAGAAAAAGGGGCACGACAGCAUGACAACUCUGCUGGGGAAUUUCUUCGGCUUUUACUAUAUCAUGUUAUUUGUGAUUUUAUUGUUUUUAUUCCCUUUACUUAAUGUCUUUAUCUCUUCUUCUAUGAAAUUGACUUGGCUCUUUGUUUCUUUUCUUUAAUGCUUUCUUUUACUCCAUUCCUUCAAAACUAUUGUAAUUAUGAGAAAUUAUUGUAAUCAUUACUUUAUGAACAUGCAAAUACAUGACAACUUAUUUCAUUCUUGUAAUUGCAUCCUCAACAUCAUAUCCACUCGUUCCAAACAAAAUACCAUAGCAAUGCUUAUAAUGAGUGGUUGCGCUCUUCCAAUAUUAUCACCCCAUAUAUUUGGAAAAGGCGUAUUUGGGGUAAAACCAGUCGAUUAGCGAUGCAGUCGACGGUUCCGUGCCUUUACUUCUUAAGUUUUCCGCUCAAGGAUACCGGUCUAACACCCCAUAUAAACCUUAUUCUGUUCAAUUAUGCAUGCACCGCGGUCAAACCUAGUCGAUUCAGUUAUGUUGUCCAUAUAAUGACUCUUUAAGAUAGUCUUUUCCAAAGUCCAUCGGGUUUCCUUGGAACCCAAACGGAAAUUACCACGUCUGUGCAUUUAUUUGGAGAACUAAAUGCUGCUUAUGCCAAUUAUUGAUAUUUAAAUAGUCGAGUCUGACGGGGUUAAGGGUCUAACACUUUAUUUUGUAGAAAAUGAGGCACGAAGUCCCCAGAUUCGGCAUGGUAACCAACAUUCAUUCAAGGUUGAUAAGUUGGUGGGAAGACCUUCACUCUAGUGAUCAGACCCUCGUCCACAAAUAUUUGGGAAAUUUGCCUUCUCUCUUGGAAAUCCAACCCGACAAAAAGUCAUAGAGGAUGCAACUCUAUUAUGGGAUGGUGAUAGAUCAGUGUUCUGCUUCGGGGACCUUGAAAUGACACCUCUGCUAGAGGAAACAAGAGGAUUCAUUGGUAUUCCAUAGGAGAUUCCGGGUUUACUUAUGCCGGAAAAUCGCAAGGGUAGGGGUUUUCUCAAAAUGAUGGGACUAAAGAAGAACACAAACUUGACCUGCUUGAAGGAUUCCUACAUUCCUUUCGACUAUCUUAACAAAAGGUAUGACCAUAGCAAGUCCUACCACACUUAAAUAGAUAAAUUCACCCUCACAUCGUUGGGGAAUAUCCACAGAAGGGUCUUUGUCAUUAUGUUCUGCUUUUUGGGGAUGAUAGUAUUUCCUAUUAUUUGACUUGCUUGAAGGAUUCCUACAUUCCUUUCGAUUAGUUGUACAAGAGGUACGGCCAUAGUAAGUCAUACCGCACUUACCCAAAUGACUUUGCCCUCACCUCAUUGGGGCAUAUCCAUAGAAGAGUCUUCAUCUUUAUGUUCUGCCUUUUUGGGAUGAUAGUAUAUCCUAUGAAGAAGGCUAGGAUUCAUACCAGACUGGCCAUGGUCACCAAGACUUUUAUGGAAGGAAUUGGCGGGCAGCCUUUUAGCAUUGUACCUAUGAUCGUUGCUGAGAUAUAUCGAGCCCUGGAAAACUGUCAAUGAGUUCCUGAGGGUUGUAACUUACUGCUCAAAUCUGGCUCAUAGAGUACCUACAAAAGGGUGAAUAUCGGCAAGAGAUACUGCAGAGAGACUGGGAUGAUCAUAUCACCGUCCAUCAGCCAAGGCGAAUGAUAUAUAUGCCUAACAUAUUUGCUCAACCAGAAGAUGCGACAGGGUGGGUAGAGUUGCUUUAAAAUCUGAAAGAGGACCAAGUGCAGUGGAUGUUCGAAUAGUUCCCCACUGAAGAGUUCAUUGUUCGAUCUCUAAAUGCACUAUUUCUUAUACUCAUCAGUCUGAGAGGAACUUAUCCUUAUGUCUCUAUUUGAGUCAUGAGGAAGGUAGGAAGAAAGCAGGUUAUACCAAGGGUCGACAAAGUAAGCCACUUCAGGGUUAAAUUUCAAGAUGACGAUAUUCCAUGCAAGUGCCAAGCUCAACACAUGUGGCAUUGCAAAAUAAUCCUGGGAAAGGGUUCCAUAGAACCAAACGGGUACCAUGCUUGUUAUACCCAUGCUUUCCAAGUUGGUUGGAAGACGAUCAUAGUGGGUUAGGACAACCGGGCUUGUUCGAGGUCAUAGAAUCAUCGACGAAAAUGAUUAUGUAUAGGAUAAGUACAACUAAUUGUGCAAGAGGAUCCGGGAAUGCAAAAGUGAGCAUCGAGAAAUUCAAGAAGCCCAUCAGAAGUUGAUUGAAGAAUGGAAAGAUAUAGCUCUCAGUUCCACAAGCGGCUAAUGUAUUUGGAACGGGGUUUAGUAGAGUUGGAAAGGAAGUUCAUCUAGAGGAAUGAAAACUACCAGAACUCUGAGGGAAAUGAAGAAGGACACUUGGCUUGAUCUUGCUUGCUGCUAGGACUGCGUGAGCUGGUGAAUCUAUUCGAUGGAGUUAAAGAUGCCUAGUCUGGGGAAGGCCCUUCUGGGACCAAGUAGUUAGGGGUCUUUUCUUUAUCUUUUAAAAAUGUAAUAAGGCCAUUUGCCACUACUGACAUUUCUACUUUAUGCUAUUUUACUGUUUUUUGGAUUUGUCUUAUUUUUGUCAAUAAAAUGAGGCAUUUAGCA
Molecule: long non-coding RNA, 5827 nt
Filed under: Nicotiana benthamiana
Lineage: Eukaryota; Viridiplantae; Streptophyta; Magnoliopsida; Solanales; Solanaceae
Description: long non-coding RNA (NBEN_LNC038703)
Source: RNAcentral